This 465-nucleotide ribosomal RNA is filed under the name uncultured bacterium. RNAcentral's name for it is "bacterial SSU rRNA". It matches the Rfam family "Bacterial small subunit ribosomal RNA", at positions 48 to 512 of the family's 1533-position model. The record is from RNAcentral.
CUUACCAUGCAGUCGACGGCAGCACGGACUUCGGUCUGGUGGCGAGUGGCGAACGGGUGAGUAAUGUAUCGGAACGUGCCAGUAGCGGGGGAUAACUACGCGGAAGCGUAGCUAAUACCGCAUACGCCCUACGGGGGAAAGCAGGGGAUCGCAAGACCUUGCACUAUUGGAGCGGCCGAUAUCGGAUUAGCUAGUUGGUGGGGUAACGGCUCACCAAGGCGACGAUCCGUAGCUGGUUUGAGAGGACGACCAGCCACACUGGGACUGAGACACGGCCCAGACUCCUACGGGAGGCAGCAGUGGGGAAUUUUGGACAAUGGGGGAAACCCUGAUCCAGCCAUCCCGCGUGUGCGAUGAAGGCCUUCGGGUUGUAAAGCACUUUUGGCAGGAAAGAAACGUCGUGGGUUAAUACCCCGCGAAACUGACGGUACCUGCAAAAUAAGCACCGGCUAACUACGUGCCAGC